GGCUUCUCUUGUUGCAGAGCAUGGGCUCUAGGCACGCAGGCUUCAGUAGUUGGCACACGGGCUCAGUAGUUGUGGCUCGUGGGCUCUAGAGCGCAGGCUCAGUAGUUGUGGCACAUGGGCUUAGUUGCUCUGCCGCAUGUGGGAUCUUCCAGGACCAGGGCUCGAACCUGUGUCCCCUGCGUUGGCAGGCGGAUUCUCAACCACUGCGCCACCAGGGAAGUCCCAGGACCUUUGUUUGUUAAACACCAGAUUUUCAGCAACCAUCUAAGGCAUCGCCCCGAGCCAGAUGAUGCUCAGAGAGGUUAAGCGGCAUGCUCAAGGUCAUGCAGCCAGGAAGUGGUGGAGUCCAGACUCAAAGCCAGGUCUGCCUGGGUCUGAAGUUCACUCCCCUUAACCUGCCCAGAGUUUUUUCCUCCUUGGCAGCCAGGUGCUCAUCCCUGAUAUCAACAGGUCAAGGAGAAAGGAAACGGCAGGGGCACAUCUUUAGAAUUCACCGUGGGCUCCUUCCUCAAGAGUCUG
Non-coding RNA from Kogia breviceps (pygmy sperm whale), 519 nucleotides. Lineage: Eukaryota; Metazoa; Chordata; Mammalia; Artiodactyla; Physeteridae. The record is from RefSeq and is a predicted model, not a curated record.